CAUCUUCCCGUUGGGAGAAGGUGAGAAGCUUCGACAAGGUUCGCGCGAGACAACGUGCGCAGCACGGCCCGCAGGGCGAGGAGCGCAGCGACGAGUCAUCCUUCUCCCACCACCA
Molecule: small RNA, 115 nt
Filed under: Mixta calida
Lineage: Bacteria; Pseudomonadati; Pseudomonadota; Gammaproteobacteria; Enterobacterales; Erwiniaceae
Description: RtT sRNA
Rfam family: RtT RNA
About the family: This family represents a bacterial cis-regulatory element known as RtT RNA. The exact function of RtT is unknown although it is thought that it may be involved in changing the cellular response in relation to amino acid starvation.
Source: RNAcentral